GAUGAAGAACGUAGCGAAAUGCGAUAAGUAAUGUGAAUUGCAGAAUUCAGUGAAUCAUCGAAUCUUUGAACGCACAUUGCGCCCCCUGGUAUUCCGGGGGGCAUGCCUGUCCGAGCGUCAUUACAACCCUCAAGCUCAGCUUGGUAUUGGGCCCCGCCGACCCGGCGGGCCCUAAAGUCAGUGGCGGUGCCGUCCGGCUCCGAGCGUAGUAAUUCUUCUCGCUCUGGAGGUCCGGUCGUGUGCUCGCCAGCAACCCCCAAUUUUUUUCAGGUUGACCUCGGAUCAGGCAGGGAUACCCGCUGAACUUAAGCAUAUCAAUAAGCGGAGGA
RNAcentral lists this unclassified non-coding RNA (329 nucleotides) under soil metagenome. Its description in RNAcentral is "partial contains 5.8S ribosomal RNA, internal transcribed spacer 2, and large subunit ribosomal RNA". The stretch from base 1 to 120 matches the Rfam family "5.8S ribosomal RNA", at positions 35 to 154 of the family's 154-position model. The record is from RNAcentral.